RNAcentral lists this ribosomal RNA (474 nucleotides) under uncultured organism. RNAcentral describes it as "partial 16S ribosomal RNA". It matches the Rfam family "Bacterial small subunit ribosomal RNA", at positions 332 to 797 of the family's 1533-position model. The record is from RNAcentral.
UACACUCCUGCGGGAGGCAGCAGUGGGGAAUAUUGCACAAUGGGCGCAAGCCUGAUGCAGCCAUGCCGCGUGUAUGAAGAAGGCCUUCGGGUUGUAAAGUACUUUCAGCGGGGAGGAAGGCGAUAAGGUUAAUAACCUUGUUGAUUGACGUUACCCGCAGAAGAAGCACCGGCUAACUCCGUGCCAGCAGCCGCGGUAAUACGGAGGGUGCAAGCGUUAAUCGGAAUUACUGGGCGUAAAGCGCACGCAGGCGGUCUGUCAAGUCGGAUGUGAAAUCCCCGGGCUCAACCUGGGAACUGCAUUCGAAACUGGCAGGCUAGAGUGUUGUAGAGGGGGGUAGAAUUCCAGGUGUAGCGGUGAAAUGCGUAGAGAUCUGGAGGAAUACCGGUGGCGAAGGCGGCCCCCUGGACAAAGACUGACGCUCAGGUGCGAAAGCGUGGGGAGCAAACAGGAUUAGAAACCCGAGUAGUCCCA